Long non-coding RNA from Helianthus annuus (common sunflower), 1668 nucleotides. RefSeq lists it as uncharacterized. The transcript has 7 exons. Lineage: Eukaryota; Viridiplantae; Streptophyta; Magnoliopsida; Asterales; Asteraceae. The record is from RefSeq and is a predicted model, not a curated record.
GCCCUUUUGCUACGUGUCCUGGGUUAUUUCUUCCCUUUUCCUUUUCACAUUCGCAGAAAUAGAGAGUAAAUCUAGGGUUAAUGAGAGAGGGACCUGGAGAUAAUCGCCGGCCACCAGAUAAACUACCCGGCGACCAUCUGUUACCGACGAUACGGCGAUGCAGGUGAUUUUCUCGACAUCUUCUUUGGUGUUGUUGUUUAACAGGCAUGUAUUCUUGCUUCUAUAUUCUGUUAUUGCUUUCGAUUUUUUUUUUGUAUUCGGCGAGGAUGAUGCGCUGUUAUCUCUAUGGAACUACCUGGGGUUUGUGUUGUGGGUGUGAUGUGAGUCUUGGUUUACUCUAUUUUGGAAGUUGAGUGGCCAUUGAUGUCGGUGAGAAGUCGAAAUGGAGAAUGAAAUUGAUACCUUGAGGAGGUGUAAAUGGUUUGGGAUUGUGGGCUUUUGGACUUAUAAACCUCCACCUCCAUCACCAUCGUCGUCUCUUCUAUUCAAUCACGCCCUGUAAACGAACCUUCUUCAGGAGUUUAAAGCACCGUUAUGGAUUCCGUUGUUUCUUUUGAUUAUAAACGGGUGGUCUCCGCUGAUUUAUCAAACUUAGCUCACCACCGGCAGCCAUCAUAAAAAUGAACUGGGGUGGCUGCUUUGGAAAAAAAUAUCAAUUUGUUUUGGGUCUUCAUGGUGGUUGACAUGAGAGAUAGGCGGAGCAGUGACCUAUGGUUUCGAUAAAGGGAUUAAAGCAAUGGCUGAGCAAUUAUCUAGGGUUCUGACCAAGGAGUUCAAGUGAUAUUUUCAGGAAUGGGCCACAAGACGGAAGAAACUCAAUGUAGGAUGGUACUUAUGGUAAAACUUGCCCGAUCCCACUGGGCAACAAUUUUACAUACAUGCUUCAAGCGAAGGAUCAGAUUGGUAGCUUCUUCUGCUUCCUGUGACCUGGCCUUCAAAAGGCCGCCAGAGGCUAUGGCGGCACGAAAAUCUACAGCCGCCCUCGGAUCCGGUCCUCUUUCCUUUCCCUGCCAGAGAUCAAACUGUUCUUGCUGGUGAUUGGUAAAAAAAGGCCACCAGAGACCAAGACACACAUAGGGCAUGGGUGAAAGCUUUCUUCUUCUUAUGGACUUGUCAUCAAUGGGCGUGGCUCGAAUGGUUACACAUUCGAAGUCGAACAAGUUAAAAAUACAAGACUUCUGGUUCAAGUAGGGCAACAAAGCUAUCCAAAUUUCGCUUCUUUAGGUGUCAACAUUCUUCAACAGCUAGCAUCCAAGAUUGCACUAGACUCCCUCAUCACUGCCUAAUCAAAGCCGACACGUGGUUCGCACCAAAUAUCACUCACACGACUAAGAGACUGAUAGAAAGAGACUGAUGAAGGAAAUUAAGUGGCAGGCACCCAACAUAGAUUAGAGAUUCUAAUACCUGAGAAUCAAUUAAUUGUAAGGUAGUUUUACUUGGGAUGCAUAUCUAUUACACGUAGUUUCUUUUUGUGGACCCUUGAAGAACAUGCAAUUUUGGUGGGUUUGUUUGGCAUCCAUGAUGUAUGUUUUUUUUUUUUUUUUUUUUCAGCAGGGUUUGAUGUCUAAUAAUAUGUAACUAAAUUGUUCUCUCUACAUGUAACCUAUUGGAGUGGGAAGCAGUUUCUCUUUUAUUUGAUAAAUAGAAACAAAUAGAAUUGUUGUGUUA